AGUCAAUCAAUUUGUUAUCAAUCUAAAAUGAUCAUUUGAAUAAAUCAUAAAUGCUAGUAAGGUGAAAUGAUCUACAUCUCAUGUGUGCUCAUUCAACGCGACAGAUAUAGCAGAACAGGUUAUGAUAUAAGGGAAAAUGGUACCAAGAAGCAGAAUAUCUCUCAGUUAUAGGCCUGUAAACGCCAAUGCAGCAGUUAAGAAAGAAGAAGAAUACGCAGGCAUGUCAUUUAGUCAACUAAAAUAUGACAAAGAUUUUGUCAAAUCCACAACAUCUGUGACAUUUCUUGUAAUUAAGAACUGCUAGAACUCCUCAAAAGAUGCAGUAACCUUGUCAGCACCAAUGGACUGUUUUGGAGAUUUAGCUUCCGUAGUUUCCAUGGAAGGUUUAAUUUUGGAGAUUUCAUCUUCCAAGUGCGAGGAAAACGUUGCCUGAAACACCGUAGUUUCCAUGGAAGGUUUAGUUUUGGAGAUUUCAUCUUCCAAGUGCGAGGAAAACGUUGCCUGAAACUUGAAAAGACAUCAAAAGAAUGUAGAGAAGUAAAGAAAGGCAUAGCUAUAUCCAUUUGGCUCAAGCUGUCAAAAGAAAGUAAGAAAGUAAAGAAGGGUAUUUAGCUAUUAGCUUAC
RNAcentral lists this long non-coding RNA (624 nucleotides) under Nicotiana benthamiana. RNAcentral describes it as "long non-coding RNA (NBEN_LNC006187)". The record is from RNAcentral. Lineage: Eukaryota; Viridiplantae; Streptophyta; Magnoliopsida; Solanales; Solanaceae.